GGUGUCAGCCCUUCAACUCCUUUGAUGUUGCCAUCCAAUAACUCUGCUGUCAUCACAAAAACUAUUACCAGAACAUUUCCUUUAAAGCAGAAAAGGCACUUAGUCAAUGUUAAGGCCCAUCAUCUGCAAAAUAUCAACAAGCAAUCAAAAAGUACAAAAGAUCUGGAGAUCCAAAUGCUGCAGCUGGAGUGCGAAGAACUCAAAAAUCGACUACGAUGCUUAAGGGAAGGCCUGAUGGGGCAGAAGCUGAGCAACACAGAAGAGCUACUGAAACAAUCUCAGAAAGAACUGUUGUGCCUUCAGAGACAACUAUCACUUAUCUCCACAGGAAGCCCCAUGUGUGUUUUCGCAGCUAACAAGUUUGGAAAUGAUCCAUCAUGCCUGCAGUCUGCAACUUCAGCAUGCACAUCUGAUCAGGUUGAGUUUAUAGAAGAGACCCAGAUUUCUAAGUCUCAUGUCUCCACAUUAAAUCAAGAGUAUCAUCACUGGCUGUUUUCAGUAAGUUCUGUCUCUUUCUCUUCCUUGCAUGAGUUCUAGCAACAGGGGGUUGGAGAUCUUUUGAGGCAGAUAGUUGAGGGAAGGAGGGUUUAGCUCCACCAUCUUUAUAGCAUUAGAUGUUGUAUUGAUAUAUAGAAAAUAUAAGUAAUAUAAAUGUGUGAUUAGGAUAUAAUUUUAAAUUUGAAAGGAGAAUUUAACGAAGGAAAAUGUGAUAUAAAUAGGAAUUGGAGUGCUCUGUUCUGUAUACAUGUACACAAAAUUACAGGAUCCAAUGCUGGAGGGUUGUGUUCAGAACAGCCCGGUCUGUUCUGGCAUAUACAUAUGUAUGGACACUUGAUUCUGAAUAUCAGCAGAUUUUUCCGACUGGACUUCUGUGUGCUUGCAUGUGUUCUAAUUUUCAAGCACCUUUUGCAGUUAAAGCACAAAAAAACAUUUCAGAGGUUCUUUGGAUAUAGUAACUAUAGGAUUGUGUUGGUGUAGUGGCUCAAAUACAGGGCCUUGGUUUCUUUUCAGAUAAAAUAUUACUACGUAAGUACAAACAUCUUUGAAUACAU
This 1052-nucleotide long non-coding RNA is filed under the name Phasianus colchicus (ring-necked pheasant). RNAcentral describes it as "lncRNA (ENSPCLG00000005095.1)". Lineage: Eukaryota; Metazoa; Chordata; Aves; Galliformes; Phasianidae. The record is from RNAcentral.